CAUCACAGUAUCCACAUCAGAAACUUCUACACUGAGUAUAACUACAUCACAAGGAGUUGAAACAAGUACUACAGUGUCCAUUCCAGUAACUACUACACCAGGUGAAGAGGUAUUUUAUGCAAAAGUUAAGAUAAAUGAAGAAUUCAUAGAAGCAUUUAACAAUAAAAGUAGCCCUGAAUAUAAAAACUUCACUGACACGUUUAUACAAGAGGU
Pelobates fuscus (common spadefoot toad) is the source of this 213-nucleotide long non-coding RNA. RefSeq lists it as uncharacterized. Lineage: Eukaryota; Metazoa; Chordata; Amphibia; Anura; Pelobatidae. The record is from RefSeq and is a predicted model, not a curated record. The transcript is spliced from 2 exons.